GAGCUGCGCCCGCAACUCCUCGACAGGUUCGGGAUGCAUGCUCAGGUGGGUACUGUCAGAGACGCCGAGUUAAGGGUUAAAAUUGUGGAGGAGAGGGCGCGGUUCGAUAAGGACCCGAAGGGCUUCCGGGAGACGUAUCGGGCGGAGCAGGAUAAGCUGCAGGAGCAGAUUGGGGCGGCACGGAGCACCCUGGGUUCGGUUAAGAUGAAUCAUGAGCUGACAGUGAAGAUAUCAAAGGUGUGUGCGGAGCUGAAUGUGGA
Molecule: unclassified non-coding RNA, 260 nt
Filed under: Hevea brasiliensis (rubber tree)
Lineage: Eukaryota; Viridiplantae; Streptophyta; Magnoliopsida; Malpighiales; Euphorbiaceae
Source: RNAcentral